Molecule: ribosomal RNA, 460 nt
Filed under: uncultured bacterium
Lineage: Bacteria
Description: partial 16S ribosomal RNA
Rfam family: Bacterial small subunit ribosomal RNA
Source: RNAcentral
CCUACGGGGGGCAGCAGUGAGGAAUAUUGGUCAAUGGCCGAGAGUCUGAACCAGCCAAGUAGCGUGAAGGAUGACUGCCCUCUGGGUUGUAAACUUCUUUUAUAUGGGAAUAAAAUGUUCCACGUGUGGGAUUUUGUAUGUACCAUAUGAAUAAGGAUCGGCUAACUCCGUGCCAGCCGCCGCGGUAAUACGGAGGAUCCGGGCGUUAUCCGGAUUUAUUGGGUUUAAAGGGAUCGUAGGUGGAUUGUUAAGUCAGUUGUGAAAGUUUGCGGCUUAACCGUAAAAUUGCAGUUGAAACUGGCAGUCUUGAGUACAGUAGAGGUGGGCGGAACUCGUGGUGUAGCGGUGAAAUGCUUAGAUAUCACGAAGAACUCCGAUUGCGAAGGCAGUUCACUGGACUGCAACUGACACUGAGGCUCGAAAGUGUGGGUAUCAAACAGGAUUAGAUACCCGGGUAGUC